GAGUUUGAUCAUGGCUCAGGAUGAACGCUGGCGGUCUGCUUAACACAUGCAAGUCGAACGAAAUCCCUCGGGAUUUAGUGGCGGACGGGUGAGUAACACGUGAGAAUCUAGCUUCUGGAUGGGGACAACAGUGGGAAACCGCUGCUAAUACCCAAUGAGCCGCAAGGUAAAAGAUUUAUCGCCAGAAAAUGAGCUCGCGUCCGAUUAGUUAGUUGGUAGAGUAACAGCCUACCAAGACAGCGAUCGGUAGCUGGUCUGAGAGGAUGAGCAGCCACACUGGGACUGAGACACGGCCCAGACUCCUACGGGAGGCAGCAGUGGGGAAUUUUCCGCAAUGGGCGCAAGCCUGACGGAGCAAGACCGCGUGGGGGAGGAAGGCUCUUGGGUUGUAAACCCCUUUUCUCAGGGAAGAAAUAUUGACGGUACCUGAGGAAUCAGCCUCGGCUAACUCCGUGCCAGCAGCCGCGGUAAUACGGAGGAGGCAAGCGUUAUCCGGAAUUAUUGGGCGUAAAGAGUCCGUAGGUGGUAGAGCAAGUCGGCGGUUAAAGACUGGGGCUUAACUCCAGAAGGGCCGUGGAAACUGCACCACUAGAGGGCGGUAGGGGUAGAGGGAAUUCCCGGUGU
This 624-nucleotide ribosomal RNA is filed under the name uncultured bacterium. RNAcentral's name for it is "bacterial SSU rRNA". It matches the Rfam family "Bacterial small subunit ribosomal RNA", at positions 9 to 676 of the family's 1533-position model. The record is from RNAcentral.